This 715-nucleotide ribosomal RNA is filed under the name Agrococcus sp. RNAcentral describes it as "bacterial SSU rRNA". It matches the Rfam family "Bacterial small subunit ribosomal RNA", at positions 68 to 796 of the family's 1533-position model. Lineage: Bacteria; Bacillati; Actinomycetota; Actinomycetes; Micrococcales; Microbacteriaceae. The record is from RNAcentral.
UGAAGGAGGAGCUUGCUCCUCUGGAUUAGUGGCGAACGGGUGAGUAACACGUGAGCAAUCUGCCCUUGACUCUGGGAUAAGCGCUGGAAACGGCGUCUAAUACCGGAUACGACCCUCGGAGGCAUCUCCUGUGGGUGGAAAGAACUUCGGUCAAGGAUGAGCUCGCGGCCUAUCAGCUUGUUGGUGAGGUAAUGGCUCACCAAGGCGACGACGGGUAGCCGGCCUGAGAGGGUGACCGGCCACACUGGGACUGAGACACGGCCCAGACUCCUACGGGAGGCAGCAGUGGGGAAUAUUGCACAAUGGGCGCAAGCCUGAUGCAGCAACGCCGCGUGAGGGACGACGGCCUUCGGGUUGUAAACCUCUUUUAGCAGGGAAGAAGCGAGAGUGACGGUACCUGCAGAAAAAGCACCGGCUAACUACGUGCCAGCAGCCGCGGUAAUACGUAGGGUGCAAGCGUUGUCCGGAAUUAUUGGGCGUAAAGAGCUCGUAGGCGGUCUGUCGCGUCUGCUGUGAAAACCCGAGGCUCAACCUCGGGCUUGCAGUGGGUACGGGCAGACUAGAGUGCGGUAGGGGAGAUUGGAAUUCCUGGUGUAGCGGUGGAAUGCGCAGAUAUCAGGAGGAACACCGAUGGCGAAGGCAGAUCUCUGGGCCGUAACUGACGCUGAGGAGCGAAAGCGUGGGGAGCAAACAGGCUUAGAUACCCUGGUAGUCC